CACUGGCAGCUCUAGUGGUAGCUGUUUUUAUUGGGCCUAAAGCGUUCGUAGCCGGUUUGAUAAGUCUCUGGUGAAAUCCUGUAGCUUAACUGUGGGAAUUGCUGGUGAUACUGUUGAACUUGAGGUCGGGAGAGGUUAGCGGUACUCCCAGGGUAGAGGUGAAAUUCUGUAAUCCUGGGAGGACCACCUGUGGCGAAGGCGGCUAACUGGAACGAACCUGACGGUGAGGGACGAAAGCUAGGGGUGCGAACCGGAUUAGAUACCCGCGUAGUUCCUGAGCGGG
RNAcentral lists this ribosomal RNA (283 nucleotides) under uncultured prokaryote. RNAcentral describes it as "partial 16S ribosomal RNA". It matches the Rfam family "Archaeal small subunit ribosomal RNA", at positions 474 to 754 of the family's 1478-position model. The record is from RNAcentral.